Molecule: long non-coding RNA, 1388 nt
Organism: Melitaea cinxia (Glanville fritillary)
Lineage: Eukaryota; Metazoa; Arthropoda; Insecta; Lepidoptera; Nymphalidae
Exons: 2
Source: RefSeq, a predicted model, not a curated record
AAAAUAUUGAAAUAAUACCAAGAAUUUGUCAAAAAAUAAGCAAAAAGCUUACCUUAAACACCGUUGAUGUCGUUGAAUAAACGUACUCGAUCAAACCGCUCUGAAGCUAAAUCUCACUAGCAAAGACUCUAGUAAACAAUAACACUAAAGAAUACUAGCAAAAGCCGUAGAAGCAAAACACGUUUGAUAACAGCGAGAGCCGAAACCAAAGUGCCAGUUCUCCUCGCUUGCAUUUACAGCAAAACUUCGACGAAGGGUGAGGGACGGGGUCUUUUAGAAAUAGUCAAUUCGUUUUUUUACCUGCGUAUACGCAUUGUCUAUAAAUGGUCAUAAAUUCCUACAAUCCUAAUUGUUAUCAGCGAGUAUUAUAAAACAGCUUUAAUGUAUUAUGACUAAGAUAAAUAAUAGUUUUAAGAUAAGGCAAAAUAAUAGUUGAAUAGUUACAAAAAAAGUUUAUUGUUUUUGUUAUUAGUUCCAAUCCUUCUCAGAAAAAAAUAUGCAGUUUGUCGCAUUUGACUAUGACUACGAUAGGCAAGACAAUAGGUAGAAAGCUAUAAAAAACUUAAUACUAAUUUAUUGUUUAUUGAUUUGUUUCGGUCAUACAAAAAAAAAAAUGUAUAGUUUAUUGUUAAAGGCCUAUUUUAUUUUUCAAGAAAGUCAAGACAGUCACAGUGAGACAUGCAUCACAUUUAUGUUUACUACAACAAUAGUUACUAGAAUCUUACUCGAAAACUUUUGAUCGCUAAGAAAGUCUUUAAGCUUGGGAGCAGUAGUUUUUAAAGUAUCUAAAUAAUGUCAAUAUUAAUACUUUUACAACAAAUAAAGAGUUUUUGGAACUUAGAGCUUUUGAAUAUUAAUAUUCUAAGAUCUUUUAUUGGUGACAUUUUCAUAAAUAUAUUUUCUACUUCUACAAAGAUUCUCUAAUUGGAAAAUUAUACGAAACAUCUUUUGACGAAAAUAUUUAAUAACUGUACGUAACGAGCAAACAUUACCACGUCUACUUACGAAUUCAUCAAUUAUCAUAUUAAAUCAGUAGUAUUUUAUUAAUGUUAAAGCAGACUGAUACUUGCGACGCGUAGAACUGAAACUACAGGCGACCGACACGAUGUAAUAACCGAAAGACGUAGGAAAUAUUGUUCCAGCGCACAGUUGAUUUUAAAACUAAAUAUAAAAGAUACGAUUUAAGAUGAGUUGCUAACUUUGAAUAAAUUAGAAAAAAGAAAUUAUGCGUAUUGCAAGAUAUUUUGUUGGCUUCGAAAAAAAUAAUUUACCUAACAAAUACAGAUUAAAUUUAAAAAAAUCAGUCUUGUUCAUAACUAGAAAUUAUAUUAUAUUUUAUGGUUAAUUCUAUGUAACUAAAUUCGUGCUCAUAAUAUUGAAAAAAAAUA